UGCAGGGUAGAGUAAUGGUAACUCGCAGGUCUCAUAAUCCUGAAAGUGUGGGUUCAAAUCCCGCCCCUGCAA
Molecule: transfer RNA, 72 nt
Filed under: Candidatus Poribacteria bacterium
Lineage: Bacteria; Candidatus Poribacteria
Description: tRNA-Met
Rfam family: tRNA
About the family: Transfer RNA (tRNA) molecules are approximately 80 nucleotides in length.
Source: RNAcentral